GGAGUCUGGACCGUGUCUCAGUUCCAAUGUGGCCGUUCAUCCUCUCAGACCGGCUACUGAUCGUCGCCUUGGUAGGUCGUUGCCCCACCAACCAGCUAAUCAGACGCAGACCCAUCGCAAAGCGAUAGCUUACAAGUAGAGGCCAUCUUUAAUCAGUCUCCCAUGCGGGAAUCUGACAACAUUCGGUAUUAGCAGUCCUUUCGGACUGUUGUCCCCAUCUUUGCGGCAGGUUGUCUACGCGUUACUCACCCGUUUGCCACUCGACUUUCAAAAGCAAGCUUUCAAUCGUCUCGUUCGACUUGCAUGUGUUAAGCACGCCGCCAGCGUUC
This 329-nucleotide ribosomal RNA is filed under the name Pseudoselenomonas ruminantium. RNAcentral's name for it is "Selenomonas ruminantium partial 16S ribosomal RNA". The record is from RNAcentral. Lineage: Bacteria; Bacillati; Bacillota; Negativicutes; Selenomonadales; Selenomonadaceae.